This 1392-nucleotide long non-coding RNA is filed under the name Bemisia tabaci. Its description in RNAcentral is "lncRNA ENSASIAIIG012658". Lineage: Eukaryota; Metazoa; Arthropoda; Insecta; Hemiptera; Aleyrodidae. The record is from RNAcentral.
AUGGACGACGGCUCGUGUAAGAAAGUCCGCAAGAACGGACUCAACUGUCUUGUUUGCGAGAAAGCCAAUUCCGCCGGGACGUUCGAGCGGUGCUCUUACGAGUCGGACCCGAAGGAGAACGCCUACGAGUACUCGACCAAAGAGACUUACGGCUCGAAGAACAGGCCCUCCGAGAGGUACCGACGCUCCCGAGUCAAGAAAGACAUUAACCUCAGGAACAGUCCGUUCGACUCGGGGCUUUUGCCCAAAGGUCCGUCCAUCGGACGAGGCAAGAGCGACUUCUUGGGAAGGAACAACGGUUUCAAGUCGGACUUGGGCAAGUCGUAUUCCCUAAGUGGGAGCUCGGAUGACGAUUUUUCCAGCAGUGUCUUCCCGGAUGUGAAAGUCCCUGGUUUAGGAGGCGGCAAGUCCAACCAUUUCUCGGAUGAAUUCUCGUCCGACCUCGAUGCUGCCAUCAAACCCGAGUCCGAUUUCCUUCCCAAAUUCGCAUCCAAGUCUUCGUUGAACUCUGGAGGAGGUCUGUUCAAAAAGCAAAGACCGUCACUGUUCGAUAACCGACCGCAGUUGAGGCUCAAACCGGAGAAGAACUCCUACGACAGUCUCCUCGGAGACUUCACCGCCAAGGACCGAUCCCACUGCAAGAAAGAGAUCAAGGACGGGUCCACCUGUUACUAUUGCACCGACGACGAAGGGUCGGAACACGAGGAGUGCAUGUACGUGAAGAAGUCUCAACCGGAGAACAAGGAGGUCAAGUACCACCAGUCGAAGGAAGUCAAGACACCGCUGCGGGGCCACAAAGCGGCGGACAAAUUCGACGAGAUAUUGAACUCAAACACCGCCCACAACCCGGUUUACAGGCAGAACGACGAGGGGAUGGACUCCGUCGAGGACUUUGAAGAGGAUGUAGAGUCGACUUACGCCAAACACGAAGCCGCGAGUCCCGGCUUUUACCACGAGGGGUCCCCGGCUAUGUCGACAGUCAGUCGGACGGACUUUAAGGGCGAUGAGAGCCCGACGGGGUAUCGGUACAAUACCCAGCAUACAACAUCGCCGAACGGCCGAGAGGAUGGUGCUCCUACUCAGAAGCCAUCCAACCGUUUAAGUUACGGAAUGUUGGACUAUCCAACGAAACCACCGCCCGCACCGGUCGACGCGGAUGAGGAUUUGGACAAUCUGGAACCCGCCGUCGGGGGCGGGGAUGCGGAGCCCCUGGGGGAGAAUUCCAGCAACAACCUCCGCCACCACGAGGCACGAAGUGAUGAUGAUGUUCAGCUUGUUUACGACAACCAGUUCAAGAUGACCUUGCCCAAGUUCAUGGUUGAGAAGACGGAGCAGGAGGAUGAGUUUGAUAGUACCUACAAAAACAUGCUGAAGAACAUCGAUAAAAUGUGA